UACGUAGGGGGCAAGCGUUGUCCGGAUUAUUGGGCGUAAAGAGCGUGUAGGCGGCCAGACAAGUCUGCUGUGAAAACUCGAGGCUCAACCUCGAGCUGUCGGUGGAAACUGUCUGGCUAGAGUCCGGAAGAGGAGAGUGGAAUUCCUGGUGUAGCGGUGAAAUGCGCAGAUAUCAGGAAGAACACCUAUGGCGAAGGCAGCUCUCUGGGACGGUACUGACGCUGAGACGCGAAAGCGUGGGGAGCGAACAGG
This 252-nucleotide ribosomal RNA is filed under the name uncultured bacterium. RNAcentral describes it as "partial 16S ribosomal RNA". It matches the Rfam family "Bacterial small subunit ribosomal RNA", at positions 524 to 776 of the family's 1533-position model. The record is from RNAcentral.